Molecule: ribosomal RNA, 520 nt
Filed under: uncultured Glomus
Lineage: Eukaryota; Fungi; Glomeromycota; Glomeromycetes; Glomerales; Glomeraceae
Description: SSU rRNA
Rfam family: Eukaryotic small subunit ribosomal RNA
Source: RNAcentral
AGCAGCCGCGGUAAUUCCAGCUCCAAUAGCGUAUAUUAAAGUUGUUGCAGUUAAAAAGCUCGUAGUUGAAUUUCGGGGUUAGUAGGUUGGUCAUGCCUCUGGUAUGUACUGGUCUCACUGAUUCCUCCUUCCUGAUGAACCGUAAUGCCAUUAAUUUGGUGUUGCGGGGAAUUUGGACUGUUACUUUGAAAAAAUUAGAGUGUUUAAAGCAGGCUAACGCUUGAAUACAUUAGCAUGGAAUAACGGAAUAGGACGUUCGAUCUUAUUUUGUUGGUUUCUAAGAUUGACGUAAUGAUUAAUAGGGAUAGUUGGGGGCACUAGUAUUCAAUUGUCAGAGGUGAAAUUCUUGGAUUUAUUGAAGACUAACUACUGCGAAAGCAUUUGCCAAGGAUGUUUUCAUUAAUCAAGAACGAAAGUUAGGGGAUCGAAGACGAUCAGAUACCGUCGUAGUCUUAACCAUAAACUAUGCCGACUAGGGAUCGGAUGAUGUAAUUUUUAAUGACUCAUUCGGCGCCUUACG